GUUAAGCGACUAAGCGUACACGGUGGAUGCCCUGGCAGUCAGAGGCGAUGAAGGACGUGCUAAUCUGCGAUAAGCGUCGGUAAGGUGAUAUGAACCGUUAUAACCGGCGAUUUCCGAAUGGGGAAACCCAGUGUGUUUCGACACACUAUCAUUAACUGAAUCCAUAGGUUAAUGAGGCGAACCGGGGGAACUGAAACAUCUAAGUACCCCGAGGAAAAGAAAUCAACCGAGAUUCCCCCAGUAGCGGCGAGCGAACGGGGAGCAGCCCAGAGCCUGAAUCAGUAUGUGUGUUAGUGGAAGCGUCUGGAAAGGCGCGCGAUACAGGGUGACAGCCCCGUACACAAAAAUGCACAUAUUGUGAGCUCGAUGAGUAGGGCGGGACACGUGGUAUCCUGUCUGAAUAUGGGGGGACCAUCCUCCAAGGCUAAAUACUCCUGACUGACCGAUAGUGAACCAGUACCGUGAGGGAAAGGCGAAAAGAACCCCGGCGAGGGGAGUGAAAAAGAACCUGAAACCGUGUACGUACAAGCAGUGGGAGCACGCUUAGGCGUGUGACUGCGUACCUUUUGUAUAAUGGGUCAGCGACUUAUAUUCUGUAGCAAGGUUAACCGAAUAGGGGAGCCGAAGGGAAACCGAGUCUUAACUGGGCGUUAAGUUGCAGGGUAUAGACCCGAAACCCGGUGAUCUAGCCAUGGGCAGGUUGAAGGUUGGGUAACACUAACUGGAGGACCGAACCGACUAAUGUUGAAAAAUUAGCGGAUGACUUGUGGCUGGGGGUGAAAGGCCAAUCAAACCGGGAGAUAGCUGGUUCUCCCCGAAAGCUAUUUAGGUAGCGCCUCGUGAAUUCAUCUCCGGGGGUAGAGCACUGUUUCGGCAAGGGGGUCAUCCCGACUUACCAACCCGAUGCAAACUGCGAAUACCGGAGAAUGUUAUCACGGGAGACACACGGCGGGUGCUAACGUCCGUCGUGAAGAGGGAAACAACCCAGACCGCCAGCUAAGGUCCCAAAGUCAUGGUUAAGUGGGAAACGAUGUGGGAAGGCCCAGACAGCCAGGAUGUUGGCUUAGAAGCAGCCAUCAUUUAAAGAAAGCGUAAUAGCUCACUGGUCGAGUCGGCCUGCGCGGAAGAUGUAACGGGGCUAAACCAUGCACCGAAGCUGCGGCAGCGACGCUGAUGCGUUGUUGGGUAGGGGAGCGUUCUGUAAGCCUGCGAAGGUGUGCUGUGAGGCAUGCUGGAGGUAUCAGAAGUGCGAAUGCUGACAUAAGUAACGAUAAAGCGGGUGAAAAGCCCGCUCGCCGGAAGACCAAGGGUUCCUGUCCAACGUUAAUCGGGGCAGGGUGAGUCGACCCCUAAGGCGAGGCCGAAAGGCGUAGUCGAUGGGAAACAGGUUAAUAUUCCUGUACUUGGUGUUACUGCGAAGGGGGGACGGAGAAGGCUAUGUUGGCCGGGCGACGGUUGUCCCGGUUUAAGCGUGUAGGCUGGUUUUCCAGGCAAAUCCGGAAAAUCAAGGCUGAGGCGUGAUGACGAGGCACUACGGUGCUGAAGCAACAAAUGCCCUGCUUCCAGGAAAAGCCUCUAAGCAUCAGGUAACAUCAAAUCGUACCCCAAACCGACACAGGUGGUCAGGUAGAGAAUACCAAGGCGCUUGAGAGAACUCGGGUGAAGGAACUAGGCAAAAUGGUGCCGUAACUUCGGGAGAA
RNAcentral lists this ribosomal RNA (1700 nucleotides) under Escherichia coli. Its description in RNAcentral is "partial 23S ribosomal RNA". It matches the Rfam family "Bacterial large subunit ribosomal RNA", at positions 1 to 1744 of the family's 2925-position model. The record is from RNAcentral. Lineage: Bacteria; Pseudomonadati; Pseudomonadota; Gammaproteobacteria; Enterobacterales; Enterobacteriaceae.